RNAcentral lists this ribosomal RNA (444 nucleotides) under uncultured bacterium. RNAcentral describes it as "bacterial SSU rRNA". It matches the Rfam family "Bacterial small subunit ribosomal RNA", at positions 331 to 792 of the family's 1533-position model. The record is from RNAcentral.
CCAGACUCCUACGGGAGGCAGCAGUGGGGAAUAUUGCACAAUGGGGGAAACCCUGAUGCAGCGACGCCGCGUGAGUGAAGAAGUAAUUCGUUAUGUAAAGCUCUAUCAGCAGGGAAGAAAAUGACGGUACCUGAGUAAGAAGCCCCGACUAACUACGUGCCAGCAGCCGCGGUAAUACGUAGGGGGCAAGCGUUAUCCGGAUUUACUGGGUGUAAAGGGAGCGUAGACGGCUAUGCAAGUCUGGAGUGAAAGGCGGGGGCCCAACCCCCGGACUGCUCUGGAAACUGUAGAGCUAGAGUGCAGGAGAGGUAAGUGGAAUUCCUAGUGUAGCGGUGAAAUGCGUAGAUAUUAGGAGGAACACCAGUGGCGAAGGCGGCUUGCUGGACGAAAACUGACGUUGAGGCUCGAAAGCGUGGGGAGCAAACAGGAUUAGAUACCCCGGUA